ACUCCUACGGGAGGCAGCAGGCGCGAAAACUUUACAAUGCUGGCAACAGCGAUAAGGGAACCUCGAGUGCCAGGUUACAAAUCUGGCUGUCGAGAUGCCUAAAAAGCAUUUCAUAGCAAGGGCCGGGCAAGACCGGUGCCAGCCGCCGCGGUAACACCGGCGGCUCGAGUGGUAACCGUUAUUAUUGGGUCUAAAGGGUCUGUAGCCGGCCGGAUAAGUCUCUUGAGAAAUCUGGCAGCUUAACUGUCAGGCUUUCAGGAGAUACUGUCUGGCUCGAGGCCGGGAGAGGUGAGAGAUACUUCAGGGGUAGGGGUGAAAUCUUGUAAUCCUUGAAGGACCACCAGUGGCGAAGGCGUCUCACCAGAACGGACCUGACGGCAAGGGACGAAAGCUAGGGGCACGAACCGGAUUAGAUACCCGGGUAGUCCUAGCCGUAAACGAUACUCGCUAGGUGUCGGCCACGGUGCGACCGUUGUCGGUGCCGUAGGGAGGCCGUGAAGCGAGCCACCUGGGAAGUACGGCCGCAAGGCUGAAACUUAAAUGAAUUGACGG
This 552-nucleotide ribosomal RNA is filed under the name uncultured bacterium. Its description in RNAcentral is "bacterial SSU rRNA". It matches the Rfam family "Archaeal small subunit ribosomal RNA", at positions 319 to 871 of the family's 1478-position model. The record is from RNAcentral.